UCUUCCCUACGGGAGGCAGCAGUGGGGAAUAUUGCACAAUGGGGGAAACCCUGAUGCAGCGACGCCGCGUGAGUGAAGAAGUAUUUCGGUAUGUAAAGCUCUAUCAGCAGGGAAGAAAAUGACGGUACCUGACUAAGAAGCCCCGGCUAACUACGUGCCAGCAGCCGCGGUAAUACAUAGGGAGCAAGCGUUAUCCGGAUUUAUUGGGUGUAAAGGGUGCGUAGACGGGAAAUUAAGUUAGUUGUGAAAUCCCUCGGCUUAACUGAGGAACUGCAACUAAAACUGAUUUUCUUGAGUACUGGAGA
RNAcentral lists this ribosomal RNA (305 nucleotides) under uncultured bacterium. RNAcentral describes it as "bacterial SSU rRNA". It matches the Rfam family "Bacterial small subunit ribosomal RNA", at positions 333 to 655 of the family's 1533-position model. The record is from RNAcentral.